Molecule: long non-coding RNA, 1993 nt
Organism: Poecile atricapillus (Black-capped chickadee)
Lineage: Eukaryota; Metazoa; Chordata; Aves; Passeriformes; Paridae
Exons: 3
Source: RefSeq, a predicted model, not a curated record
UCUACCCCCAAAGCAUCACCUUCAGGGAACUUCAAAGGCUGUGUAUUGAUCCCCUUCCCAAAGUUUACCACUGCUUUAAAAUUGAUUAGAUCCAAACCCAGAUGAAUGCUAAUGUCUCUGUCUUUCCUGGUGGAAGCACACACCUUUACCAGUAAACUGGUAAAGAAAACUAAACAUGGUUCAAAGAAGCAGAUGGAGGUUGCUGUUGAUGACCUCUCAUACCACUAUUUAUGAGUCAAUAUACCACAGUAUCAAAUAUGAUUUAUAAAAACAUUAUAUGGCCAGAAUCUGCUUAGAAAGUCAAGGACCGAUUUUGCAUUUUCUAUGUUAAGUAAGGUUUGCAUUCAGAGGAUGGGAUCUUGUGCUAAUGAGAAUGUUAGCAGUAGCUAACAUUCAACAUGUUAGCUGUUGAGUAGCUUCCAGGCCUCCACCUUGACUGGCUUGGAAAGCUUGAGAUGGUGUGAGAUGGGUGCUGCUUCUUACCACAAAGGCUUUUAAAUACAAUUCAAGGAAAACCACAUUGGGAGUGAGAGACUGCUUGCAACAAGGGCAGCUGCAGUCCACAAUAUUCCUAGGCCAUCCAAAGAGACUUCAAGAAAUAUGCCCUGAGUGAGCAACUAAGGUGUCAUUAUCCAAGACAAUUUAUUAAUGAAGAGGUUGAAGCCAAAGAAGAGGAAGUAAUAAAUCAUAUUUUUGCUUGUUUUUCUAAUUGUGCAAUCACUAGUAGUAACUCAAUUGAGAUUAACCUAUUUCCCUGCAUUCUAUUCUUAACUUUCUAGUUGUCAGUGACCUACACAAGAGGUUUACACCUCCCUCUUCUCUAACUAUAACCCUGGACUGUUGACAUGUGGAUGGAACGUAAGGAUCCUGAAACAUCUCAUUAAGUUUCUUCUCCCUGGAUCAGAAGAAAUGGAGGCAGAAAACUAUUUUCAAAACAGAAAUAGCACUUCAGCUUGGAAGUGUAUCAAUAAUUGUCCAGUGCUGGGUUGACAUGCUCCAAAUAUUUUCUUUACUACGACUGGGAUAAUACAGAAGUGCUGCUAAGUGAGUGCAACACUUGUUUUCACCUCAAUUACGAGACAGCUGCCAGCUCCCAUACAGGCCCAAUGGGAAUGAAUACCCUGAAGUUUGUGAAAGCUACCCCAGCCCUGCAGAGACCACACAGAUCCUCCUGGAAUCUCAGCUCAGCAGCCUGCAAUUCCCAGGAAGGCCUGGAUAUGGCAGCCUUUUAUCAACGGAGAGAGGGUCAGCACCCAGCUCCAGCAGCAACAGAAGGGCUUUCACAAAAUCAGCCAGGGAAAUAUUCCAAGUUAGCAGUCUAUCCCAACAGACUCAGGUGCUGGGUUACCAGACAAAUUAGAAAGGACAUAAGAGGGCCCUUGUUGAUGAAGAAUCAUCAGUAUUCUCUGUACAUCCCUUCACUGAAGGAACACACUAUCUGCUUUCGAGUAAUGCAAUCCUUCUCCCCUGCAGUUCACUGCCAUCCAUCCCAAAUGUAAAUCUUAAUUUUUAUAGUCUAUCUCAGCAGUCAGAAAGGCUCAGCACAGUCUACAGCCAAAAUCUGUUUUCUGCAAAGAAAACAGGAGGAAAAAGAGCCAGGACUCAAACAAGAAAAGAUCAGACGUGGCAGAGGCCAGACCUAAUGCAUUUGUGGCACUACUGGUGUGACAGAACAGAGUAGGGGUAAAUUUGGUGCUUCUCUGAUCCAAAGCUUGCUACAUCCAGAGGCUCUGGGGAAGGCUCAAUCGCACCAUUUCCAGCGUGAUGACGUGAACAGCAAGUCCAGUGGAACAAACAUGCACAGUGUCUGGAUGGGCAGAGAAAUCUCAAAACUGAGACUGACUUAACAUCAUGUGCAAGAAAAGGUAUCGUGGAAACACUGCACAAUCCCACAGGGAAGAGCCCUGUAGAGCUGCAGUUCACUGCAGCUAAAAUCCUUCACACACAUCUGUUGUAAAAAAAGCUGCAUGGAAAAGAAACACAGUGGAGAGAC